UGAGUGCGAGCGGCUACGGCCGCGAAGUGGGUGAUGUCAAGCUUCCAAGAAAAGCCCUAUACCCGUUAAGGCAUGAUGGCCUGUACCCGAAACCGACACAGGUGGGGUGGUAGAGAAUACCGAGGGGCGCGAGGUAACUCUCUCUAAGGAACUCGGCAAAAUGGCCCCGUAACUUCGGGAGAAGGGGUGCCACCGCAAGGUGGUCGCAGUGAAGAGGCCCAGGCGACUGUUUACCAAAAACACAGGUCUCCGCUAAGUCGCAAGACGAUGUAUGGGGGCUGACGCCUGCCCAGUGCCGGAAGGUUAAGGAAGCUGGUCAGCGCAAGCGAAGCUGGCGACUGAAGCCCCGGUGAACGGCGGCCGUAACUAUAACGGUCCUAAGGUAGCGAAAUUCCUUGUCGGGUAAGUUCCGACCCGCACGAAAGGCGUAACGAUCUGGGCGCUGUCUCGGAGAGAGGCUCGGCGAAAUAGAAUUGUCUGUGAAGAUGCGGACUACGUGCACCCGGACAGAAAGACCCUAUGAAGCUUUACUGUAGCUUGGUAUUGUGUCCGGGCUCUGAAUGCGCAGGAUAGGUGGGAGGCUUUGAUCCAUGGCUUGCGGGUCAAGGUGAGCCAACGGUGAGAUACCACUCUUUCAGAGCUAGGGUUCUAACGGUCACCCGUCAUCCGGGGACCGGACAGUAUCAGGUGGGCAGUUUGACUGGGGCGGUCGCCUCCUAAAAGGUAACGGAGGCGCGCAAAGGUUUGCUCAGGCUGGUUGGAAAUCAGCCGACGAGUGCAAAAGCAGAAGCAAGCUUGACUGUGAGACCUACAAGUCGAACAGGGACGAAAGUCGGCUUUAGUGAUCCGACGGUUCUGAGUGGAAGGGCCGUCGCUCAACGGAUAAAAGUUACUCUAGGAUAACAGGCUGAUCUCCCCCAAGAGUUCACAUCGACGGGGAGGUUUGGCACCUCGAUGUCGGCUCAUCGCAACCUGGGGCUGAAGUCGGUCCCAAGGGUUGGGCUGUUCGCCCAUUAAAGCGGUACGCGAGCUGGGUUCAGAACGUCGUGAGACAGUUCGGUCCAUAUCCGGUGCACGCGCAGGAACAUUGAGAGGAUUUCUCCCUAGUACGAGAGGACCGGGAGGAACGCACCUCUGGUGUGCCAGUUAUCGUGCCAACGGUAAACGCUGGGUAGCCAUGUGCGGAGUGGAUAACCGCUGAAAGCAUCUAAGUGGGAAGCCCACCUCAAGAUGAGUGUUCCCAUGGCAUAAGCCAGUAAGGUCACGGGAAGAACACCCGUUGAUAGGCUCUACGUGGAAGCCGGGUAACCGGUGAAGCGGAGGAGUACUAAUAGACCGAGGGC
Molecule: ribosomal RNA, 1343 nt
Filed under: metagenome
Description: bacterial LSU rRNA
Rfam family: Bacterial large subunit ribosomal RNA
Source: RNAcentral